AUUAAACCAUUGCAAUGGACAUAUAUAUUAUUUAUUAAUUUCCCUCCAAAAUAUUUCACAAAUAUGCCAAAAUAUUUUUCAUUUUAUUAAAACAUUAUUUUUCUUUCUUAAUAGAAAACCCUCAGAACGAAAGCAGCUAAUUGACUUACCCUUUUUCAGACAAACAAACCAAACGCCUCAAUCGAUUUACCCUUAGAACAAACAGCAAAUAGUUAAUGAUACACUUUAUUACAACGAACAACCAACAAUCUUGACAAAUUUGUUAGUGAGGCCAUUGGAGAUACUUGGGCAUCAACACAGUCUUAAUCGCAGUACAAACUUCAAGCACGUGUUUAUGGAAAUCGAAAUCCCCAAUCCAAACCACUUUGAGACCAAUCUAAGAGGUUCUCCAGAAGCCCAUCUCCAAAAACAAACAGCUACACAUUAUUUCACUGGUACAUCAUAUCGUAGCAUCGUAUUCUCUUUGGCAAACACAAAACUCAAUUCAUUACAUAUCAGUUCAAAUGUAUCUUUUCCCAUUUGAAAAGCUUUCUUGAACUCCUCUUCAGGGAAAUUAGCACUGUUACAUUGAUCCCACCAAGCUUUUGAUCUAUUCUUCACCCACAAUCGUAUUUAGGGAGCACCCUUUUCACUGGCUUUAUUACUCAAAAUGAUUUCUUCCUGUGCUGCAGCAGCAGAAUGGCACAAGAAGCAGUAGAAGUAGAAGUUCAAUUCCCUUGGACUUUCUAUUUACGAACACUAUCUAGCUGUUGUAAAUUGGAAUGAUGUUUUUGAAUGUUUGAAUAAUAAUCCCACAUCAUUUUAGUUGUUUUCUUGUGA
Molecule: long non-coding RNA, 819 nt
Organism: Capsicum annuum
Lineage: Eukaryota; Viridiplantae; Streptophyta; Magnoliopsida; Solanales; Solanaceae
Exons: 2
Source: RefSeq, a predicted model, not a curated record